Molecule: non-coding RNA, 70 nt
Organism: Macrostomum lignano
Lineage: Eukaryota; Metazoa; Platyhelminthes; Macrostomidae
Source: Rfam
GGGUUUGUAGCCUAGUGGUAAGAGCGUCGGACUGACGACCUGAAGGUCGGGGGUUCGAUUCCCGAUUCUA